AUUGAACGCUGGCGGCAGGCCUAACACAUGCAAGUCGAACGGUAGCACAGAGAGCUUGCUCUCGGGUGACGAGUGGCGGACGGGUGAGUAAUGUCUGGGAAACUGCCCGAUGGAGGGGGAUAACUACUGGAAACGGUAGCUAAUACCGCAUAACGUCGCAAGACCAAAGUGGGGGACCUUCGGGCCUCACACCAUCGGAUGUGCCUAGAUGGGAUUAGCUAGUAGGUGGGGCAAUGGCUCACCUAGGCGACGAUCCAUAGCUGGUCUGAGAGGAUGACCAGCCACACUGGAACUGAGACACGGUCCAGACUCCCACGGGAGGCAGCAGUGGGGAAUAUUGCACAAUGGGCGCAAGCCUGAUGCAGCCAUGCCGCGUGUAUGAAGAAGGCCUUCGGGUUGUAAAGUACUUUCAGCGGGGAGGAAGGCGGUGAAGUUAAUAGCUUCACCGAUUGACGUUACCCGCAGAAGAAGCACCGGCUAACUCCGUGCCAGCCGCCGCCGUAA
Molecule: ribosomal RNA, 504 nt
Filed under: uncultured bacterium
Lineage: Bacteria
Description: partial 16S ribosomal RNA
Rfam family: Bacterial small subunit ribosomal RNA
Source: RNAcentral